AAUACAAAAAACAAUGAUAUAUU
RNAcentral lists this small nuclear RNA (23 nucleotides) under Arabidopsis thaliana (thale cress). Its description in RNAcentral is "snRNA_12983". Lineage: Eukaryota; Viridiplantae; Streptophyta; Magnoliopsida; Brassicales; Brassicaceae. The record is from RNAcentral.